RNAcentral lists this unclassified non-coding RNA (330 nucleotides) under soil metagenome. Its description in RNAcentral is "partial contains 5.8S ribosomal RNA, internal transcribed spacer 2, and large subunit ribosomal RNA". The stretch from base 1 to 119 matches the Rfam family "5.8S ribosomal RNA", at positions 35 to 154 of the family's 154-position model. The record is from RNAcentral.
GAUGAAGAACGCAGCGAAAUGCGAUAAGUAAUGCGAAUUGCAGAAUCCGUGAGUCAUCGAAUCUUUGAACGCACAUUGCGCCCUCUGGUAUUCCGGGGGGCAUGCCUGUUCGAGCGUCAUUUCACCACUCAAGCCUCGCUUGGUAUUGGGCAACGCGGUCCGCCGCGUGCCUCAAAUCGACCGGCUGGGUCUUCUGUCCCCUAAGCGUUGUGGAAACUAUUCGCUAAAGGGUGCUCGGGAGGCUACGCCGUAAAACAAACCCAUUUCUAAGGUUGACCUCGGAUCAGGUAGGGAUACCCGCUGAACUUAAGCAUAUCAAUAAGCGGAGGA